This 253-nucleotide ribosomal RNA is filed under the name uncultured bacterium. RNAcentral's name for it is "partial 16S ribosomal RNA". It matches the Rfam family "Bacterial small subunit ribosomal RNA", at positions 524 to 776 of the family's 1533-position model. The record is from RNAcentral.
UACAGAGGGGGCGAGCGUUGUUCGGAAUUACUGGGCGUAAAGGGCGCGUAGGCGGCCUUCUAAGUCGAACGUGAAAUCCCCGGGCUCAACCCGGGAACUGCGUCCGAUACUGGGAGGCUUGAAUCCGGGAGAGGGAUGUGGAAUUCCAGGUGUAGCGGUGAAAUGCGUAGAUAUCUGGAGGAAUACCGGUGGCGAAGGCGGCAUCCUGGACCGACAUUGACGCUGAUGAGCGAAAGCCAGGGGAGCAAACGGG